Molecule: ribosomal RNA, 540 nt
Filed under: Pseudodictyosporium elegans
Lineage: Eukaryota; Fungi; Ascomycota; Dothideomycetes; Pleosporales; Dictyosporiaceae
Description: eukaryotic LSU rRNA
Rfam family: Eukaryotic large subunit ribosomal RNA
Source: RNAcentral
CCACCAGGGAUUGCCCUAGUAACGGCGAGUGAAGCGGCAACAGCUCAAAUUUGAAAUCUGGCUUUCUUGGAGGCCCGAGUUGUAAUUUGCAGAGGGUGCUUUGGCAUCGGCAGCGGUCUAAGUUCCUUGGAACAGGACGUCAUAGAGGGUGAGAAUCCCGUACGUGACCGCCAGCCUUCGCCGUGUAAAGCCCCUUCGACGAGUCGAGUUGUUUGGGAAUGCAGCUCUAAAUGGGAGGUAAAUUUCUUCUAAAGCUAAAUACCGGCCAGAGACCGAUAGCGCACAAGUAGAGUGAUCGAAAGAUGAAAAGCACUUUGGAAAGAGAGUCAAACAGCACGUGAAAUUGUUGAAAGGGAAGCGCUUGCCGCCAGACGUGCCCGUGGUGGUUCUCCUCCGCGGGCAGGCCAGCAUCAGUUUGGGCGAUCGGAAAAUGGCCUCUGUCAUGUAUCUCCCUUCGGGGUGACCUUAUAGGGGAGGCGUAAUGCGAUCAGCCCGGACUGAGGACCGCGCAUCUGCUAUUGAUGCUGGCGUAAUGGCUGU